Molecule: ribosomal RNA, 654 nt
Filed under: uncultured archaeon
Lineage: Archaea
Description: bacterial SSU rRNA
Rfam family: Archaeal small subunit ribosomal RNA
Source: RNAcentral
GCCUAAAGCGUCCGUAGCCUGCUUUGUAAGUUUCCGGUUAAAUCCAUUAGCUCAACUAAUGGGCCGCCGGAAAAACUGCAAAGCUAGGGAGUGGGAGAGGUAGACGGUACUCGGUAGGAAGGGGUAAAAUCCUUUGAUCUAUUGAUGACCACCUGUGGCGAAGGCGGUCUACCAGAACACGUUCGACGGUGAGGGAUGAAAGCUGGGGGAGCAAACCGGAUUAGAUACCCGGGUAGUCCCAGCUGUAAACGAUGCAGACUCGGUGAUGCGCUGGCUUGUGGCUAGUGCAGUGCCGCAGGGAAGCCGUUAAGUUUGCCGCCUGGGAAGUACGUACGCAAGUAUGAAACUUAAAGGAAUUGGCGGGGGAGCACCACAAGGGGUGAAGCCUGCGGUUCAAUUGGAGUCAACGCCAGAAAUCUUACCCGAGGAGACAGCAGAAUGAAGGUCAAGCUGGAGACUUUACCAGACAAGCUGAGAAGUGGUGCAUGGCCGUCGCCAGCUCGUGCCGUGAGAUGUCCUGUUAAGUCAGGUAACGAGCGAGAUCCCUGCCUCUAGUUGCCACCAUUACUCUCAGGAGUAGUGGGGCGAAUUAGCGGGACCGCCACAGUUAAUGUGGAGGAAGGAAGGGGCCACGGCAGGUCAGUAUGCCCCGAA